This 62-nucleotide transfer RNA is filed under the name Otolemur garnettii (small-eared galago). It matches the Rfam family "tRNA", at positions 7 to 64 of the family's 71-position model. Rfam says of the family: Transfer RNA (tRNA) molecules are approximately 80 nucleotides in length. Their secondary structure includes four short double-helical elements and three loops (D, anti-codon, and T loops). The record is from Rfam by way of RNAcentral. Lineage: Eukaryota; Metazoa; Chordata; Mammalia; Primates; Galagidae.
GUGGCUCAAAGGAGUAAGAGCACUGGCCACAUAUGCCAGAGGUGGCUGGUUCAAACCCAGCC